Molecule: ribosomal RNA, 200 nt
Filed under: uncultured bacterium
Lineage: Bacteria
Description: partial 16S ribosomal RNA
Rfam family: Bacterial small subunit ribosomal RNA
Source: RNAcentral
AUUGAACGCUGGCGGCAUGCCUUACACAUGCAAGUCGAACGGUAACAGGUUAAGCUGACGAGUGGCGAACGGGUGAGUAAUGUAUCGGAACGUGCCCAGUCGUGGGGGAUAACUGCUCGAAAGAGCAGCUAAUACCGCAUACGACCUGAGGGUGAAAGCGGGGGAUCGCAAGACCUCGCGCGAUUGGAGCGGCCGAUAUC